CGCUCAUCUCACCUUCUGCUGUGUGGCCUGGUUUCUAACAGGCUGGUUGGUGGCCUGGGGAUUGGGGACUCCUGGUUUAAACCACUUCAGAAAUCGCAGAUCGGCCCUGCUGCUUUUAACAAUUUUCAGAAGUCUCAACAAUUAAAAGAAAAUUAGAAGCCAAGUGCAGUGGCUCACACCUGUAAUUCCAGAACUUUGGGAGGCCAAGGUGAGAGGAUCACGUGAGUGCAACAGUGUGAAGUCAGCCUGGGCAAAAUAGUCCUGCAUACCACUGAAACUACUGAUGUCAGCUUUCUGAAGGACCCCACUGAGAAGACUCACUAAAGAAAGCAGUUUCCAUGUCCUGAUGAUUUUGUCUCCCUUACCCUGACCAAUCAAUGGCCCUAAUUUUUGGUCAUUUCAUUUUCUUGCCCUCCAUGAUACCCUUAAAGACCCUGCCCAGACCUCGUUGGGGAAAUGGAUUUGAGGGUCUCCCCCCACCUCUUUGCUGGGAAGCUUAUGAUCAUUAAACUAUUUCUCUGCUGCAAGCCCUGUUGUGUCAGUGCAAUUGGCCUGUUACUGCACAGUGGGCAUGUAAGCCUCUUGGUCCUGUAACAAUAUUAUGAUUUGAAAGAGCAAAAUUCAAUCCAGGCUUGAAGGAAGAAAAAUUGGCUCAAACUGAAAAAAGAAAAGGCAACCCUUCCCUUAAUGAGGAUCGAGAGACAGAGAUAAAAUCAACUGCAAAAGUAAGAAGAAACACUGUUUCUCCUUAGUUAAUGCACCAGUUGUAAAAUGCUUUGGCAACCACUCAUUGAGUGACUACUCCUUGCUAUUUUCAUUUUAUUAUU
This 827-nucleotide long non-coding RNA is filed under the name Homo sapiens (human). Its description in RNAcentral is "HSALNT0092503". Lineage: Eukaryota; Metazoa; Chordata; Mammalia; Primates; Hominidae. The record is from RNAcentral.